Molecule: ribosomal RNA, 253 nt
Filed under: uncultured bacterium
Lineage: Bacteria
Description: partial 16S ribosomal RNA
Rfam family: Bacterial small subunit ribosomal RNA
Source: RNAcentral
UACGUAGGGUGCAAGCGUUGUCCGGAAUUAUUGGGCGUAAAGAGCUCGUAGGCGGUUUGUCGCGUCUGCUGUGAAAACCCGAGGCUCAACCUCGGGCCUGCAGUGGGUACGGGCAGACUAGAGUGCGGUAGGGGAGAUUGGAAUUCCUGGUGUAGCGGUGGAAUGCGCAGAUAUCAGGAGGAACACCAAUGGCGAAGGCAGAUCUCUGGGCCGUAACUGAUGCUGAGGAGCGAAAGCAUGGGGAGCGAACAGG